Molecule: ribosomal RNA, 379 nt
Filed under: uncultured eukaryote
Lineage: Eukaryota
Description: partial 18S ribosomal RNA
Rfam family: Eukaryotic small subunit ribosomal RNA
Source: RNAcentral
CAAUAGCGUAUAUUAAAGUUGUUGCGGUAAAAAAGCUCGUAGUUGGAUUUCUGUUGAGAGCGACCGGUCCAUACCAUGUAUGCGUAUCUGGCUUGCUCUCGGCAUCCUCUCGAUAGACGUUACUGCGCUUGAUUGCGUGGUGCGGAUCUCGGGACUUUUACUUUGAGGAAAUUAGAGUGUUCACGGCAGGCUUUCGCCAGAAUACAUUAGCAUGGAAUAAUACUAUAGGAUCUUGGUUCUAUUUUGUUGGUUUCUAGAAUUGAGAUAAUGAUUAAUAGGGACAAUUGGGGGCAUUCGUAUCAACACGUCGGAGGUGGAAUUCUUGGAUUGUGUUGCGACGAACUACUGCGAAAGCAUUUGCCAAGGAUGUUUUCAUUGA